RNAcentral lists this ribosomal RNA (515 nucleotides) under uncultured bacterium. RNAcentral describes it as "partial 16S ribosomal RNA". It matches the Rfam family "Bacterial small subunit ribosomal RNA", at positions 28 to 523 of the family's 1533-position model. The record is from RNAcentral.
GAUGAACGCUGGCGGCGUGCCUAAUACAUGCAAGUCGAGCGAAUGGAUUAAGAGCUUGCUCUUAUGAAGUUAGCGGCGGACGGGUGAGUAACACGUGGGUAACCUGCCAAUAAGACUGGGAUAACUCCGGGAAACCGGGGCUAAUACCGGAUAACAUUUUGAACGGCAUGGUUCGAAAUUGAAAGGCGGCUUCGGCUGUUACUUAUGGAUGGACCCGCGUCGCAUUAGCUAGUUGGUGAGGUAACGGCUCACCAAGGCAACGAUGCGUAGCCGACCUGAGAGGGUGAUCGGCCACACUGGGACUGAGACACGGCCCAGACUCCUACGGGAGGCAGCAGUAGGGAAUCUUCCGCAAUGGACGAAAGUCUGACGGAGCAACGCCGCGUGAGUGAUGAAGGCUUUCGGGUCGUAAAACUCUGUUGUUAGGGAAGAACAAGUGCUAGUUGAAUAAGCUGGCACCUUGACGGUACCUAACCAAAAAGCCACGGCUAACUACGUGCCAGCCGCCGCAGUAA